RNAcentral lists this unclassified non-coding RNA (2568 nucleotides) under Hevea brasiliensis (rubber tree). The record is from RNAcentral. Lineage: Eukaryota; Viridiplantae; Streptophyta; Magnoliopsida; Malpighiales; Euphorbiaceae.
ACUGAAGCCUAUAUGGAUUAUAAUGGCCUUAAAAGAAUUCUUCGAGAAAUCUUGCAAUACAGGCAACCCUCAACACCAUUGAGAUCCUUACAUCACAGAUUAACAAUGCACAGAGCCUUUAGUGGGCUAGAGCUACCACAAUCUACCGAAUUUCCCAGUAAGGGAGACAUUGAAGACCAAGUUAUAGAUGUUAGUACAUCGCUGGAAGAUGGCUGCAGAAAGUUUUACAAGACUGAGUUCCUGAGAAAGUCUGAAGAAGGGGGAGACAUUGAGGUAAUGUUCUUCAAAAAACUUGAUGAGGAGCUGAACAAAGUUAACUCAUUUUACAAGGACAAGGUGGAGGAGAUGGUGCAUGAGGCAUCUUUGCUAAAUAGACAAAUGGAUGUCUUGAUUGCGUUGAGGAUCAGACUGCAAAAACAUGAUUUUGAGGGUGCCAAUGCUGAGGCAAGUUGUUCAAAUGACAUUGCUGCUGCAAACCACCCCUUGAGGGACAUUAAUUUAGGAAGGGGGUGUAUGGAAUCAACCCUCAGAGAGGAUACAAGCAAUGAUUCGGAUCCAGAGUCUACUAGCAAUCCAGACGUAAAUGAAGUUCAUACUGCAAAUUGUGAUAGUGCUUGCAAAGAGGAGGAAAAUGAUCGUGAACGAGAUCCAUUGAAAAUACUUGAGUAUGUGAAACUUAACAAUACACUUGAGUCACCUUUAUCAACUAUUAGAGGAGUUUUCAAGGAUUCUACAGAUGAGGACCUUUCCUUUAACAAAGAGGAGCUGAGGAAAGUUGAAGAACGACUUAGAGUUGUGUUCAUUGAAUUUUACCACAAGCUCCGUCUUCUAAAGCACUAUAGUUAUAUGAACCUUGCAGCAUUUUCCAAGAUCAUGAAAAAGUAUGAAAAGUUCACAUCAAGGAGAGCAUCCAGGUCAUAUAUGAAAAUAGUGGACAACUCUUACCUUGGCAGCUCUGACGAGGUGAGUGGCCUCCUUGAAAGGGUGGAGGCUACCUUCAUCAAGCAUUUCUCAAACUCAAAUCGCAGGGAAGGUAUGAAGUCACUGAGGCCAAAAGCAAAAAGAGAAAAGCACAGUGUAACAUUCUUUUCAGGGUUUUUUUCCGGUUGCUCAAUUUUACUAUUGAUAGCUGUUGUUUUGAGAAUACAAGCUCGGAAACUGAUGGAAAAGAGGGAAGGGGUCUCAUAUGUAGUCAACAUUUUCCCACUUUACAGUUUAUUUGGAUAUGCUGUCCUACACAAGCUCAUGUAUGUGACAAACAUUUACUUCUGGAGGCGUUAUCGGGUCAAUUAUCCAUUUAUAUUUGGUUUCAAACAAGGUACAGAGCUAGGCCACAGAGAAGUUUUCAUGCUAAGCAACGGCCUUGCAUUACUUGUAUUAGCCAGUUGCCUGGCAAAUUUGCACCUGGAUUCAGGCUCAAAUGCAUCAAAGUACAAGACAGUCACUGAAAUGGUUCCUUUAGGCUUGGUUGCUGUGGUUCUGGUCAUACUUUUCUGCCCUUUUGACAUCAUAUACCGCUCUAGUCGUUUUUUCUUUAUCCGGUGUUUGUUCCGUUGUAUUUGUGCACCACUAUAUAAGGUUACCCUUCCAGAUUUUUUCUUGGCAGAUCACCUUGCCAGUCAGGUCCAGGCCAUCAGAAGUUUUGAAUUGUACAUUUGCUACUAUGGCUUGGGGGAAUACUCUAGGAGACAAAGCAAAUGUCAUAAUCAUGGUAUCUAUAAUGCCUUCUAUUUUACAGUUGCUGUUAUCCCCUACUGGAUUCGCUUUCUACAGUGUCUUCGUCGAUUGUGCGAAGAGAAAGAUGCAACACAUGGAUACAACGGUUUCAAAUACCUGUUGACAAUUGUUGCAGUUGUAAUGAGAACCACUUGUGAACUGAAGAAAGGAAGGACCUGGAUAGUGUUGGCCUUGAUCAGCUCAGCUGUUGCAGUAAUUAUGAACACAUAUUGGGAUAUUGUGGUAGACUGGGGCCUUUUGCAAAAGAAAUCAAAGAACCCUUUCCUUAGAGACAAACUUGUAGUUUCACACAAAAGUGUCUACUUUGCUGCAAUGGUCUUGAAUGUACUUCUAAGACUGGCUUGGAUGCAAUUAGUAUUAGAAUUCAAUCUGCCAAGCCAUCAUAAGAUUGCCGCAUCAACUGUAAUUGCCUGCCUAGAGAUUAUUCGUCGUGGUAUUUGGAGCUUCUUCAGGUUGGAGAAUGAGCAUUUGAACAACGUCGGCAAGUUUCGAGCAUUCAAAUCAGUUCCACUUCCUUUCAAUUACUAUGAUGCAGAUGCUGAUAAGGAUGAUUAAGCAUCAAUAUUAGCUACCUCAAUUCAGGCCACAGUUAGAGGAAGAUCUGCAUUGUCUCUGGCUAACCAUGUUUGCUGGUUCACUUGAUGAAGAAGCUUAACCAGAUAAAUCCUUGAUGAUAUUGGUUUUUAGCUGCUGAAGAAUGCAGCAAUUUUUUUUUUUUCUGUAAUGGAUGAAUAAAUUGCCUUAAAUCUUUUAAUUAUCUCCAAAGCUGUAAAAAGUUUAUAGGCUGAAGUUUGAAUCUUUCAUGGUACACCAAAUAUAAGCAAAAUUCAG